Leptidea sinapis is the source of this 295-nucleotide long non-coding RNA. RefSeq lists it as uncharacterized. The transcript has 3 exons. The record is from RefSeq and is a predicted model, not a curated record. NCBI's taxonomy places the organism in Eukaryota, Metazoa, Arthropoda, Insecta, Lepidoptera, Pieridae.
GGCGAGUGUUCAGUGGGAGAAAAGGAUACAUAAGUCAUUAAAUUCCAUGUGUUCAGAUUUAGAGACGUCUUUGGCGAAAUUUCGGUUUCAAUCUGAACUUGAAGAAUUGGCGGAAAAGUGGAAUGAGCUCAGUACCUACAAUUUAGAUUUAUCUAAAUACAGACCAGUCUACGCACCGAAAGAUUUUUUAGAAGUUCUCAUAACAUUAUCCGGAUAUGUACCAUUUACGAAAGAGGACGAACCGAAAUGGGAAUUUGCUCAUCUACCUCUACAAGUAAAAACACUUGAUCAGUUG